GUCGAGAAUCUUUCACAAUGGGGGCAACCCUGAUGGAGCGACGCCGCGUGGAGGAUAAGGUCUUCGGAUUGUAAACUCCUGUCAUGCGUGAACAAGGUUGCUUGGUUAAUACCUGGGCAAAUUGAUGGUAACGCAAGAGGAAGAGACGGCUAACUCUGUGCCAGCAGCCGCGGUAAUACAGAGGUCUCAAGCGUUGUUCGGAAUCACUGGGCGUAAAGGGUGCGUAGGUGGCGUGGUAAGUCAGAUGUGAAAGCCCGGGGCUCAAACUAUGAACUGCAUCCGAUACUGCCAUGCUAGAGUACGGGGGAGGUGACUAGAAUUCUCGGUGUAGCAGUGAAAUGCGUAGAUAUCGAGAGGAAUACCAAAGGCGUAGGCAGGUCACUGGACAGUUACUGACACUGAGGCACGAAGGCCAGGGGAGCGAACGGGAUUAGAUACCCGUGUAGUCC
This 449-nucleotide ribosomal RNA is filed under the name uncultured bacterium. Its description in RNAcentral is "partial 16S ribosomal RNA". It matches the Rfam family "Bacterial small subunit ribosomal RNA", at positions 354 to 796 of the family's 1533-position model. The record is from RNAcentral.